This 508-nucleotide ribosomal RNA is filed under the name uncultured bacterium. RNAcentral describes it as "partial 16S ribosomal RNA". It matches the Rfam family "Bacterial small subunit ribosomal RNA", at positions 28 to 523 of the family's 1533-position model. The record is from RNAcentral.
GAUGAACGCUAGCUACAGGCUUAACACAUGCAAGUCGAGGGGAAACGAUAUUGGAAGCUUGCUCCCGAUAGGCGUCGACCGGCGCACGGGUGAGUAACGCGUAUCCAACCUGCCCACCACUUGGGGAUAACCUUGCGAAAGUAAGGCUAAUACCCAAUGAUAUCUCAAGAAGACAUCUGAAAGGGAUUAAAGAUUUAUCGGUGAUGGAUGGGGAUGCGUCUGAUUAGCUUGUUGGCGGGGUAACGGCCCACCAAGGCGACGAUCAGUAGGGGUUCUGAGAGGAAGGUCCCCCACAUUGGAACUGAGACACGGUCCAAACUCCUACGGGAGGCAGCAGUGAGGAAUAUUGGUCAAUGGGCGAGGGCCUGAACCAGCCAAGUAGCGUGCAGGAUGACGGCCCUAUGGGUUGUAAACUGCUUUUAUAAGGGAAUAAAGUGAGCCUCGUGAGGCUUUUUGCAUGUACCUUAUGAAUAAGGACCGGCUAAUUCCGUGCCAGCAGCCGCCGCAG